AUACCUAUAGCUCAAGUGGUAGAGCGCUCGAAUUAUUCGAGAGGUUGUUGGUUCAAGUCCAACUAGGUAUU
RNAcentral lists this transfer RNA (71 nucleotides) under Caudoviricetes sp. RNAcentral's name for it is "tRNA-OTHER". It matches the Rfam family "tRNA". Rfam says of the family: Transfer RNA (tRNA) molecules are approximately 80 nucleotides in length. Their secondary structure includes four short double-helical elements and three loops (D, anti-codon, and T loops). Further hydrogen bonds mediate the characteristic L-shaped molecular structure. tRNAs have two regions of fundamental functional importance: the anti-codon, which is responsible for specific mRNA codon recognition, and the 3' end, to which the tRNAs corresponding amino acid is attached (by aminoacyl-tRNA synthetases). tRNAs cope with the degeneracy of the genetic code in two manners: having more than one tRNA (with a specific anti-codon) for a particular amino acid; and 'wobble' base-pairing, i.e. permitting non-standard base-pairing at the 3rd anti-codon position. The record is from RNAcentral. Lineage: Duplodnaviria; Heunggongvirae; Uroviricota; Caudoviricetes.